GACGAACGCUGGCGGCGUGCUUAACACAUGCAAGUCGAACGGAAAGGCCCUGCUUUUGUGGGGUGCUCGAGUGGCGAACGGGUGAGUAACACGUGAGUAACCUGCCCUUGACUCUGGGAUAACUUCAGGAAACUGGGGCUAAUACCGGAUAGGAGCUCCUGCUGCAUGGGGGGGGUUGGAAAGUUUCGGCGGUUGGGGAUGGACUCGCGGCUUAUCAGCUUGUUGGUGGGGUAGUGGCUUACCAAGGCUUUGACGGGUAGCCGGCCUGAGAGGGUGACCGGCCACAUUGGGACUGAGAUACGGCCCAGACUCCUACGGGAGGCAGCAGUGGGGAAUAUUGCACAAUGGGCGAAAGCCUGAUGCAGCAACGCCGCGUGCGGGAUGACGGCCUUCGGGUUGUAAACCGCUUUCGCCUGUGACGAAGCGUGAGUGACGGUAAUGGGUAAAGAAGCACCGGCUAACUACGUG
RNAcentral lists this ribosomal RNA (468 nucleotides) under uncultured bacterium. RNAcentral's name for it is "partial 16S ribosomal RNA". It matches the Rfam family "Bacterial small subunit ribosomal RNA", at positions 28 to 507 of the family's 1533-position model. The record is from RNAcentral.